CGACAAGCGUGGCCUGUUGAUCCGUAAAGGGUAGGAAAGUCCGGACACCAUAGGGCAACAUAGCGGUUAAUGGCCGUCAUCCGUGAGGGUAGGACAAGUGCAACAGAAAGCAAGUACAGUUCGGCUGUAGUGAAAUCAGGUAAACUCUAUGUGGUGCAAUGCUAUGUAUACUGACAAUUAAGGGCGGCUCGUCCAAUGUCGGGGGGUAAGCAGCUACAUCGUACUGGCAACAGUACGGGCAGAUAAAUAACAGGCAUCCCGUCCCCAGGGACGGGAUACAGAAUCCGGCUUAUAACGCUUGUCGUUUU
RNAcentral lists this RNase P RNA (308 nucleotides) under Elizabethkingia meningoseptica. RNAcentral describes it as "RNase P RNA component class A". It matches the Rfam family "Bacterial RNase P class A". From Rfam's summary of the family: Ribonuclease P (RNase P) is a ubiquitous endoribonuclease, found in archaea, bacteria and eukarya as well as chloroplasts and mitochondria. Its best characterised activity is the generation of mature 5'-ends of tRNAs by cleaving the 5'-leader elements of precursor-tRNAs. Cellular RNase Ps are ribonucleoproteins. The record is from RNAcentral. Lineage: Bacteria; Pseudomonadati; Bacteroidota; Flavobacteriia; Flavobacteriales; Weeksellaceae.